AUGGUUUAGAUGGAAUCCUAGCAAGCUUAAUUGAUGAUUAGCACUUGAAUCCGAAGCUUUAAUAGCGGAUUUUGCCGUAAUUGCAAUUAGGGCUCCAAAAUAGGGUUUUGAUACAUAAGGGGUUUUGAUCUCAAUUGACCCUUCUCUAACCUAAUUGGUAGGUCUACGAACGCAACGGUGCGCUCGGUUCGGCGAUCCGACGAGUGUAAGCGGAGAUAUUGGGGAUCGAAGCCGUUAAGGUACAGAUUGCCGCAGCUCGCGGCGAAAGCCUCCAAAAAUCAUGAGAACGGAUCGGGAGCAUCGUGGUGUCGUGGAAUAAACUCCAGAAUAGACGGAUCGCGGAUUGGUGGCCGUUCGGGUGGUCGCGCAAGAGUUCGAGCCGAACCGGGUCACGGGUGCCGCGGGAGGCCGAUUGCAAGUGUCGACGAGCAAUCGGAACGCGAGUUAAGGUGGGUUGUGUUUACCGAAGCGACUAGGUCGCCCUUUAUGUCUAAGAUGAUUAAGAAUCCACGUUGAUGCAUAUGAAUGUAAAUGAGGUAAAUAAAGCAUGUGGUUGAUUCAUGUAAUUAAUGCAUGUUAAUGAUAUGAUGCAAAUACUAAGUAGGUGCAUAUAAAAUGAUAUAGAAAUCAUAGGAGACAUGAUCAGCAUCAUGAGAUUAUGUAUGCAUGUUGACAUCAUAGAAUGUAUGCCAGAUGAAAUGUGGAUAUCUAUAGUACUUGAUAUGACAAUAGGACAUCAAGUAGAUCGAGUGGCAUUAACCUAGUGUUAGUAAACAUAGGUCGGACAUAGAUGACAUCUAACCUAGUGUUAAAGAACAUAGGUUGAGUAUGAACCUAGAGUCGGGAUCUAGGUGUGUGGCAUCUAACCUAGUGUUAAAGAACAUAGGUUGAGAACUGAACCUAGAGUUAAGGUAAACCUAGGUUGUGAAAUUGAGGCAUUAGACCUAGAGUCAGUUGGACCUAGGGUGGAAAGUGCAUUGGACCUAGAUAGGUCAAUAGUAUAGGGUUGGAUAUGGACCCUUGACUUGUGAAGUCGAUUCCGGAAUCCCAGUACUUGUGAACUCAAUAGUUCUUGGACCGCGGGUGUAUGCGGCGAUGUUCCUCUCCCACCGGAAAGAACUUUGAGGAUUAUGACUAAGCAAGAACAAAGAGCGCUAGGGUGUACGGCAUGUUCCUCUCCCUAUCGGGGAUCUUGGCUAUGGGUGUACGCGGCUAUGUUUCCUCUCCCACUAACGGAUCCCUGACCACGGUGCACGGACCUUCGGGCGGACCGUUGGGCGAUGUGGUUCUUGGCUUGCAGGCUGAGGUGCAUGCGACAGGAUCCUUCACCUCGAGCCGGGCAGAGUGCGGAUUAUCCGCUGUUGAUUGACUCGAGGCCGAGUCGGGUGGCUAGCUGGAAUAAGGUAGAUAGAACCUUGAGGGCUAGUGGUAAAUGUGAUAACCUAAGGUAGUAGAAACCUUAGAGUUGGGUGACAUGAGCUAAGAUUAGCGAGAUUGAUUGUAGAAUCAAUAAUUCUACUAGUUGUUGCAUAUAUUCCUGUUGCAUAUAGCAUGACAUCAUUGCAGUUGUGAGGCAAAGCAAGGUAAAGUUAGUUGCAUGUUUAUGAUAUACAUAUCUAUCUGUUUAUUGGACUAACUUGUAUUUGCCUCCCUUGGACCUGUUGGUCGAGCUCCUCCCUUGGGUGGCCGUACCCACUGGGAACCAUGGAGUUGGUUCUCACCCCACGUUGUUUUGGGGUUUUACAGGUUCGCACGUGAGCGGCGCGGCGGCGCGAGGCAAGGGCGUAGCUCCAUAGAUAGCGCCCUACCCCCAGAGACCAGAGCUAGCAGUACCCCGUCGACGUAGCUUAGGGGUAUAGAAAAUGAAAGCAAGCAAAAUGUAUUAAACUUGUAAUAACUUAGUUGCUUUGGAAGUUGAAUGUAAUAUAAAGUGUGAUGUAACUAAAUGAAUCUAAUGUGAAUGUUGUAAUAACAUAGGAUGUGUUUAUGUUGAUUGAUACCUUCCUGAUGCAAUUCUGUUUGCUGAGUACUGUUCCUGGUUGGAACCCUUGUAUUGUACUUGUUGCGACGCCUAGAACGUACAGGGGAGACUCUGUCCGCGUACAGGGGAAACCCCGGUCCGUUCGGCGGUCUGUCGGCGUGCCCGAACCGGACCAAAUUGGGAGCGGUCUCGGGGCGUGACAAUAAAGGUGGUCUUUUGUGCGCAGGGGCGAAGACUCAUUUUCAGGGUACUACACGCCUAUUCAUAGAUUUGCCCUUGCGUUCAUUUGUUGUUAUUGCACGAUCGGCCAUCUUCUCCGGAUUUGGAGGACCAUGUUCGGCCGAUUGGAACCGCCGUUUGGAACCGCUCAUAACCGCUUGCGGUUGCCACGUUUUUGAACAAACGCAGCUCAUAUCUCCUGGCGCAUUUCUUCCGUACUCUCGGUCCAGCGUUUCGAAUCCUGAAUAUGGAUAUGAACUCGGUGUGCCAACUGUCCGCGCCGGAUUGGUCCAACAAUAUGUUGAUUAUUUUUAUUUGUAAGUUUGUAAUUUUUAUCUUUUUUUUAUUAAUAUAUUGUACUCCAUUGCUUUAUAUCCAUAUACUUUUUAGAUGACUUUUGGUAUAAGAAUUAGACAGAUUACAUAUAUCUUGUCCAUUAUAUGCGUGUCUUUAUGCCCUUUUUAAAUGCUUUAUGGACAAUUUAGCAGUUGAACUUAAAAAAAACCAUAUAAAUGGUUGUGACAAUGUUGGGAUCUUAUAAACAAUUAAGUACAUAAAAUUAUUUUGAUAUGAUUAAUAGAACUCAUGUUACAAUUGUUGUUAUUCACCCAAAUAUAUCAAUUUUUAAUAGGGGGUAAUCUCACCUCCAACAUAUAGGAGAUAUUUUUAUCUCACUUUUUCCAAUCAACCAAACAUAAAAAAUAAAAACAGAAAAACAAAUUUUCUUUUCCUUUUCAUACAUUCCAAACAAUAAUAGCUGAAAAAUAACUUUUACUUUUCUUCUAACCAAACGUCACAAAUCAUAAAAUUAGUUUUCAGAAAAGUCUUUUUUUAAAAAAAUAAUUUUAAUUCAUAAUUUCACGUAGAACCAAACACAUUAAAAUGUAUUUUAAAAUGAACGUGAUUGUAAAUAACUAGAAGAUCAGGNAUCUGACAACCCAACGAUUACCGAAUAUGGUACAAUCUCUGUACUACUAAACUAUGAACUCGAUAACUGAUGCAAACAAACGGUAGACACGAGUAAGCGUAUACGAACACUCCCAGCGAGGGAUGUUCGGCCGUGAGGCCUCAACCUGAUGCACUGAAUACGAGCGAGCAUGCCAUAGCUCUUUGGAUGCUCCAGCCCUCCCUAUCUGAGUAAGCAUCUCACCCUUACGACCUCAUGGUGGCUGUGAAUCCGCCGUGUUCGACCUGGUGUGAAUACAUCCAGGAUCUUGUACUAUCUUUUUACUGUAAUUUGGCCCUAUACUGUCAGUGAUGAUCUAUCCGUAUCAUCAACCUAAUGCAACUGUACGAAUAUCGCAUCGAAACCCUGUACAUCAUAUAAACUAUCAAAGUGAACAACGUAGUAUCAUAUGAACCAACGGUACUAUCUUAUACAAGUAGUAUAUAACUAUCUAACCUAGUAUUACGGAUAACGAAUAAUACAACCCUGUAUAAUCAGUACGUAACCUGAAUGAAGUAGUACUAUUCUACUUACAUGUUUUACAACUGUAGUACAAUGAAUACUGUAUCACUAAAUCGAGUAUAAAGUAUGAAAGUAUGGACAUCAAUAAAACAAUCAUAAUAAUGAAGAGCAUAGAUGGGAAUAAAAAACCCCGGAUCACCACGUAAUGCGAUUCCAGUCAUUAACGGGUGACCUUUGAUAUUUAAUAUCAAGAAUGCGGGAGAAAAAGAAUAACAAUAAUGUCUCGGAAGCUACGGCCCGCUCCGAUCCCUGACGCCUUUCCUAUAGCGGAGCCAGAUCGACGGCUCCCUGCAAUGCUAACCACCAGGUGGAGAGCAACUAAAAUAAAACUUCUCCAAAACCUGUCAAUGGACACAUAUCUCUACUGGGGUAAAACCUAAAGAAAACACUACCUAUAACAUAGUGAAAUACUAAUUAAAACACCUAAUGAAAGGAAAAUAAAAAGAGAAGAACGAAAAUCAGAUCAACAAUCAUCGAGACUAUAGAGAUGUAUGAACAAAGAAGAGCGAAAGCGUAGAGAAAACAGCAUCUGCGGAAUAUACACGUCCGUAUACCGCCCAGACCCGUGCGCGGCCCGCCCGGAUACGGCCCAGGGCCCCGUACUGUCUAUUCUCACGUGGCUGCCAGUGUACCAAGUGGUGGUACUGUGUCGUGGGUGCCCAUUCGGGAGAGCUUAGUGAGCUCGUAGUUGUUUCGCCGUGAGGUGGUGAAUCCGAUAGGUUCACAGUGCGGGGCCCUGGCCGCCUCCGGGAGGGCUACCGCACGUGUCUGGGCGGUAUACAGAUGUGUAUAUUCCGCAGAUGUUGUUUCGCCUUCAUUUUUGUUCUUUAUCUUGCUUAUCUUAUUAUUGUUGAUUGCUAUAGUCUCGCUCAUUUCAAGAUAGUAGAUUUGGUCUCAUUUUCUUUAUAUUGAUUUGUUUCAUUCAUUUCGUAGUCCACUAUGUUAUGAUUGCGGAGUUUUCUUUAUGGUUCUAGGUUUUCUUUCCACCAGAGAUAUGUAUAUGCCCAUGUUGAGAGUUGGAGAGUGUUUUAUUUUUGUAGCUCUCCAUCUGGUGGAUCGCUGAGCAGUGAGCGACUUCUCGAUCGAGCUUCGGUGCGGGAAGGGAGCCAGGGAUCGGAGAGGGCCACACCUUCCGAGACUUUCUUUUGUAUUUUGUCUCCCGCACUAUUGAUAUUAAAUAUCAAGGGUCACCCAUUAAUGACUGGAGUCGAGUUACGUGGUGAUCCGGGGUUUUCUUUUCCCAUUCAUUGCUGUUAUUAUUAUUCGUUAUUCCUCGCUGAUGUUAUUGAUGACUUUCUUUCGUAUAUACUUUACGAUAUAAUGAUACAGAGUUCAUUCGUACUACAUUCAUACUACAUGUAGAUGAGAUAGUAUUUAUUCAUGCAGGCUACCGUUGUUCAUUUGCGAUGACAGGUUCUACAGUACGUAUUUCUUACUCGAGAUAGUACGUUGAGUCAUAUGUUCUAUGUCUCGAGUGAAGUUCCAACAUACACUAUGUUUAGUGCCUCUUUAUGACACUUAAACAUUUACAUAACCUGUAAGGUACCGGACUUCUAAAACUAUUAAGUUACGGUUUACAUUCGAUUGGAGAGCCAUUUGAAUGGUCCCGGUGAAGUUUGAUGAGGUUCGGGAGCUAUCGGGUGUUUCGGUGCGCGUAGGCGCUAAAACGGACCCGAAAGGCUAACUUGGGCCGUGAGCUAAAUCCGGAAUUAGCGAGGUUGGAAAGAUGAUGAAAACAUGUUUGAAAACAUGUUUGGAGAGUCUCGGUUCGAUUUGAGACGAAUCGGAGGUCAAACGAACGAAAACGGGCGAAAACGGAGCGAAAACGGACGAAGCUGAAAAUUGGCUAAGUCUGGGCUGGAGGUCUCUCUGGGACCGGUCCCAGGUAGAGAGACCGGUCUCUCAGAGACCGGUCCCUCAUGUAGAGACCGGUCCCCGAACCCCGAAAAUGCCCAGUUCGGGCUGUUGCAAAAAGAGGCUUGUUGGGGGGUUUUUAUGCAAUUGUUGCAUGGGUUAAGUGUAUAGAGAGGGUUGGAACCUCUCUCUCUCUCUUUCCCUCACCCGUUUAGCCCCAAACGUGCCCCUCUCUAUCUCUAAACGAAAUAGAAGAAAAGAAGAAGAAGAGGAAGGAGAAGAAGAGAAGAAGAAGAAGAAGGAGAAGAAGAUCAAGAAGGGGAUCUUCAACCUCUCCUUCGUCUUCCUCGCGCUUGGAGCAACCUAGAGAGGUAAGCUUUGUUACCCUCUCAUGGUAGAUCUCUAGAAAUAGGUCUAAUUGCUCUAGAAGUGAGAUUAGUAGGCUCCUUUGAUGCUAGUUAGAUGUUUAUUGCAUGAAUCGGAGAUCGAUUUGGGGUAUUUUGCCGUAGUCGCAAACUAGGGCUCAAAAAUGGGAUUUUUGUAAAUAGAUGGGUUUAAUCUCAUUUAACCCUCUGUAAACCUAAUUAGGGGUACAACGAACGCGUUGGUGUGCUCGGUUCGACAAUCCGACGAGCGUACGCGAAGUUAUUAACGAAACAGUCUGUUUUGGUACAGAUAGCCGCAGCACGCGAGAUAAGCCUCCAAAAAUCAUGAAAGCGGAUCGGGAGUAUCGUGGUGUCGUGGAAUAAACUCCAGAAUAGACGGAUCGCGGAUUGGUGGCCGUUCGGGUGGUCGCGCAAGAGUUCGAGCCGAACCGGGUCACGGGUGCCGCGGGAGGCCGAUUGCAAGUGUCGACGAGCAAUCGGAACGCGUGUUAAGGUGGGUUGUGUUUACCGAAGCGACUAGGUCGCCCUUUAUGUCUAAGAUGAUUAAGAAUCCACGUUGAUGCAUAUGCAUGUAAAUAAGGUAUAUAUAUAUAUGAUGCAUAUAAAUGUAAGUGAUGCAUGUUAAUAAUAUGAUGCAAAUGCUAAGUAGAUCCAUGUAAAUGAUAUGUAUAAGUGCAUUGGAAAUGUAUGCUAGAUGCAUGUGUAUAUGGACUUGAUAGGACAAGUAGGAUAUCAAGUAGAUCGAGUGGCAUUAACCUAGUGUUAAUAAAUAUAGGUCGAACAUAGAUGACAUUGAACCUAGCGUUGGUGAACCUAGGAUAAAUAACGAGUGGCAUCUAACCUAGUGUUAAAGAACAUAGGUUGAGUAUGAACCUAGAGUCGGGAUCUAGGUGUGUGGCAUCUAACCUAGUGUUAAAGAACAUAGGUUGAGAACUGAACUUAGAGUUAAGGUAAACCUAGGUUGUGACAUCGAGGCAUUAGACCUAGAGUCUGUUGGACCUCGGGUGGAAAGUGCAUUGGACCUAGAUAGGUCAAUAGUAUAGGGUUGGAUAUGGACCCUUGACUUGUGAAGUCGAUUCCGGAAUCCCAGUACUUGUGAACUCAAUAGUUCUUGGACCGCGGGUGUAUGCGGCGAUGUUCCUCUCCCACCGGAAAGAACUUUGAGGAUUAUGACUAAGCAAGAACAAAGAGCGCUAGGGUGGACGCGGCAUAUUCCUCUCAUCGGACCUGGAAGCGCGGGAUGCUGAUUCAUACGUUUCCCUUACUGUUUCUCUUUCUCCGUCUUCAAGAGAGUUUUUCGAUUCAUGAUGUGAUGGAUCUUUUAAUCUAAUGUUGGGUGUGUAUGUGUGUGAGAGAACACACAAAACUGGAAUUGGUUUGGGGUGAUGAAUAUACGAGGAUCUAUGUUACUUGGAUUUGUGUGUGAUUGAGAGUAAUACUCUGUGUAAUUGAGUGGGAGUAUUACUCGGGAGUAUUAACGGUUUUCGAGUUCUCAGUAGGUAUUGAGGGUACUCAAAGUAUUGGGAACUCAAAGGAUGUCGCCCAACCCAAACCCAGAAUAACUGUUGGGCUAAGUUGGGCUUGAGCGAUUCGUCUAAACCCGGUGACAGUUCCUCUUCAGUCGCCCUUUAUAAAGCAGGUACUGUAAGAGGGGGUGGAUUGCGCGUCUGCGGGAGCAGCGCACGGCUCAACGAGGGCCAGUCGUAUCGGAAGGCGCGCCAAGCAGCACGGAACCGCGCGCUAGCCGGGGCACGGAACGAGGGUUACAGGCGUAGACAGGAGCGUGGUAGUGGAUCACAGAAUGGAGAGACUCGUUCAAGUUGUCGCUCGAACGACACGCUUCUUAAGCGGUCUACACGUACAGAAGGUGCUGUACAUGCGUGUGAGACGUUUCGGCGUCUUGCGGAGCUCACACGUACAGGAGGCGCUGUGCGUGCGCAUGAGACGGUUCGACGUCUUGAGGAAAACCAGGAGCGUCCGAGGAACCGUCUUACUGAACGUGAAACGAACCUGCGAUAAGCAAAGUUGCGGCGUACUCUGAACUGUCAGAGUGAUGACGAGUCCGGGAGGAAGCGCUCCAGGAGUCAGAAGGGCGCGAAGUGGAGGACCGUUUCGACGUCCCGACAGUCUCAACCUGAGAGCAACACGGGAAAAGGCAGGGGACCUAGUGCCACGAGAGGGGGUGGAAACCGGAGCGAGCGGAAACCAUCAAGUAGAGCUAGCGGGAGCCAAGCGAAUCCAUCACGGAGGGAGCAGAAUUCCAGGAGCUGGAGGAACUGGGCCCGUGGCUACAGGACUUCGUCGUGUAGAGCGUGUAGGGCGAGCAGUAACGCUGCCCGUUCCAAGUGGAACUUGAUGAGGUCUGCUACCGUCUUACAACGGUAUCGACGUUGUUAUAGGUAGAGGUAGUUUAUUUUGGAGAGGAGGUUGUAGGGGUGUACAACCCUAUCCAGUCUCAUCGCGAGGAGGCGCGAGCGUCGUCUCAGGAGGUCGUACGGAUGCGCCAGUAGUUCGUUCUGCCUGAGAGAGCGGUCUCAGGCGCCGAGGAACGAGAACGGAGCGAACCAGUGGGACCCGAGUCCGUGUUGCAGUUGCUGCCGUCGAAGGCUGCUUCUGUACCAAGGAAAAGCUUGGCCGAGACUAUGGUUGACAGUGCCGGAAUCGCAAAGACAAGCGUUUCGGGCACGCCGCGGGCGGAAGGACGAGCUUCUACCCGUUCGGAAGCAGGGAUAACGAUCGGACCUGGAAGCGCGGGAUGCUGAUUCAUACGUUUCCCUUACUGUUUCUCUUUCUCCGUCUUCAAGAGAGUUUUUCGAUUCAUGAUGUGAUGAAUCUUUUACUCUAAUGUUAGGUGUGUAUGUGUGUGAGAGACAACACACAAAACUGGAAUUGGUUUGGGGUGAUGAAUAUACGAGGAUCUAUGUUACUUGGAUUUGUGUGUGAUUGAGAGAGUAAUACUCUGUGUAAUUGAGUGGGAGUAUUACUCGGGAGUAUUAACGGUUUUCGAGUUCUCAGUAGGUAUUGAGGGUACUCAAAGUAUUGGGAACUCAAAGGGUGUCGCCCAACCCAAACCCAGAAUAAUUGUUGGGUUAAGUUGGGCUUGAGCGAUUCGUCUAAACCCGAUGACAGUUCCUCUUCAGUCGUCCUUUGUAAAACAGGUACUGUGAGACGACCCCUAGAUUAACACUUCCGUUAAGUUACGUACAAUUCUUCUAUACGAUUAAUUUGACGUACGACCUCUCUCAACUGGUUCGGACAACCGGCAUGCCAUUACUCCCCGGCACCGCAAUUAAUUCGGCUCGGUGAAGCCUCAAAGAACAUGCCUACGUCUAAAACUGCAAAAACUAGAUUAAUUCGAAACUGGAAAACUCUCUAGAAGAAACAUGAGGCAGAAAAGUUGUAAUUAUUUCAUAAACGAGACAGAAGCAGGUACCUGCGAACAUCCGGCAACCGGCUUGGUGCAUUUUAUAGCCACACGAGAAAAGAGAAAAAAAAAAAGAAAAAGAACGUAAUUCAUUAAAAGACUUUGAUUAAAAACGGCAAGGCUAAAAUUGUUUAACCAUAGUUUCGGAAAGAUAAGGGAAACUCUUAAUUCUACUGCUGCUUCAAGCUCUAAGUCUUUAAACUGUCCUGGUUGUCAAGCGUAAUAACAUUCAGUUCUACGCACACGAUAUAACUGCGUUGUUCCUAACAUCUUCCAUGACAACCCUUUUCAUUUCUACAGGCUAAGAAACUGCGGCCUCAUCUUCCUCUUCUAACUGCUGUUUGGAGAAUGCCGUUAUGUUAAUGCAAAUAAGCUAAUCUAUAACACGCUCCAGAACCUACUUUUCUGGCGACGUCCUAAAACCGAAUUUAAUCUUAUAGAGAUGUACUGCUUUAGAGAGUGGUUGUUCAAUAUAAACUUCAUUGCAGAGAAGUACAACGCAUAUCACCUUCUAUAGAAAUAAUUCAGCGUAAAUCUACUUAAAUUAAGAUAAUAAUACCUAGAGGCGAGCUAUCUACAAUUUUAGCUCUUCCUUCUACUUCGGGAAAAUAAUAAUACAAAAGAUGACGGGAAAAUAUUCUUAAAAGCACUCUGGAAGAACAAACCUGCUCUAUGAGAUACAGAGCUACUACAAUUUAGGAGAAAUGAAAGUUUUCUCUUUUAACUGUACGUCUAUUCGUUGCUCUGUCUACCUCGAAGUCCUGUUCUAAACCAGCGAUCUCCCUCCAGAGCGCUCUUCCCAAGGCUAUUAUCUCCAUAUAAAUCUAGUUUCAGUUUUGUAUCCAUAGAUUAAACACCAAUAACAUUCUUAUUCCCAGUGUAUUUUCGACUCACAAAGUUCAACUUUUUAUUUUUCGUCGCCUUCUUAUUGCCACUAUUUUAAGUCCCAGUCUUUUUGUGGUUAUGAUUUCGACUUCGUUCACAACGUCGUCCUCUUAGUCUAUUUUUACUAUAGCAAAAAUGUCAAUGUCUAUUCUGUGCGUUUGUCCUACUCACCGAAUACCUGAGGCGUACAAGGAAGGUAUAGACGUACGUAUUUCUUACAAGAGCUGAGUGAGAUUCACGUGUCAAUAACUUUAACCGUGAUAAGCCCAUGUCUAUAAGCUACCUCAACACUCCUGAUAUAGACUCCAAGCCGUACAAGGCCUAUGCUCUUUUUUAGACUAGAGCAACCCAUGUGAACUAUAAUUUUCAUAAGAAGUCGACUACCUAAUUACUUCCGACGAUUUCCCUUAGAAUAUCACUACUUACGGUUCAACAGGCUGUACAAUAUACAAGAUGUUCCAAGGUGACACUGUCCAAGUCGUCGCCAUUGAAGAAGGAGAUUCAGUCUAAGACUAUCGUGGUCUAAUACCGUAUACGCUGAUCCGAUAUACUCGCUUAUACCAUACUACUUCAACCCGUUCUCUCUAGAUGAACCAUUAGUCUCAAAUCUUUUCAACCUGAAGACGCUCGUAACAGAAGAAUCGUUUGUUUUCUCUCAGUCGAAAUUCCGGCGUCAAGUAAUCUGUUUUCCUUGAGACCUGACGUAGAUAAGACUAGAAGACCCUGGAAGAGCAUGAGGCUGAGUACCACCACGAUCUAUAUACAACUGAAAAUAACUGCUAAUAAGAGCAUUUCAUACCCGCAAGAAAGACUUUUCAUUCCUACUCAACAAGUUAAUAAAGUUCGUCACCUUCCAACAGUGCGGGGCUCUGGCGAGGGUUAAACCAGGCCAAGCCCGUGCGGCUGUCUGGCGGCUUGCAUGGCCCCAAAGGGGACAUGCGCCUGUCUCAGAGGGGACAUGCAAGAUCCGCAGCGUUAGGUUUGUUACAUGUAAUGUUACCAAGGUUGGUCCUUGUCUAUAGUUAGUACUAACGCAUUCCUUCAUAGUUUGUUGUAUUUGUGUAGGAUUCUAUAAUGUUGUAAGUGUAAUCUAAGUAAAAAUGUAAUGUAAGUUGGAGGUUUACGUUAAUUCAAUAAUGUAGUAUCUAUAAUGUUCCAUUUAUGUAAACGAACGAAAGUAAAAGAUAUGGGGAUUCGAUGCAGCUGCCCCCUGACGAUCGAGACCAGAGAGCCCUGUCCCGCGAUAGAUACCUCGAUGCGGGAACGGAGCGCGGCGGCGCGGCGAGUGCACGCUUGGACAUUUUGGGGUUUUGUUGCACCCCACUCUUGGUUGAGGUACCAAGGGUCACCCAUGCCGGUGGGUUCCCUCCUCGAGCUGGUUGUCCAGAUUCCCUCCGUUUAUGUUCAAUCAGGUUAUUUAUCUAUCUAUACAUAUAGUAUUUGUACGUUGAUUGAAAUGGAACGAAACGGAGUGUUGACGUUGCUACGGUACGAUAUACGUUGUCCUUAUAUACGUUGUAUUUAUAUACGUUGUUGAUCAUCUUAAUAACUAAGAUGUUAGUUAGAGCGAUUAGAAUCGAGUACAGUAGGUUGAGAUUCCAAGGAUGAUGGAAUCCAAUAGUGUAAAUGGUGAUCGGGAGUUCCAAGAUAGAUGGAAUAAGGUCGAUCGGGGGGCUAAGCCGGAGCUCAGUUAGUUGUCGCCUAUUAGGUGCGAGACGGGCCGAGCUCCACUUCCUAGGACAGCGUACGUGGAGUCGGACGUUCGGUUCUUGGUGUAGCGGGUUGCCAGGUGGGCUUCCAGGCACGUGGCACCAGUCCCUAGGCGAUCACCCUCUCCUUUGUAUCGGCGCAUGUGGGUAUCGGCUCUAGGGGCUAUCCNCUCAUGGUAAAUCCCUAGAUGUAGGGUUUUGAUCUCUAGAAAUGGUUUAAUUGGUAUCCUAGCAUGCUAAUUAGGUGGUAAAUGCUAGAAUCUAGAUAUUUAAAGGUAGGUUUUUACCUAAUUGGAAUCUAGGGCUCCGAAAUGGCGUUUUGAUAUAUAUGAGGGUUUGAUCUCUUUUAACCCUCUGUAAACCUAAUUGGGGGUAUAACGAACGCGUUGGUGCGCUCGGUUCGAUAAUCCGACGAGCGUACGCGAAGUUAUUAACGAAACAGUCUGUUUUGGUACAGAUUGCCGCAGCUCGCGGCGGAGGCUUCCUAAAAUCAUGGAAAUGGAAUCGUAGCAUCGUGGUGUCGUGGAAUAAACUCCAGAAUAGACGGAUCGCGGAUUGGUGGCCGUUCGGGUGGUCGCGCAAGAGUUCGAGCCGAACCGGGUCACGGGUGCCGCGGAAGGCCGAUUGCAAGUGUCGACGAGCAAUCGGAACGUUAAGGUGGGUUGUGUUUACCGAAGCGACUAGGUCGCCCUUUAUGUCUAAGAUGAUUAAGAAUCCACGUUGAUGCAUAUGCAUGUAAAUAAGGUAUAUAUAUAUAUGAUGCAUAUAAAUGUAAGUGAUGCAUGUUAAUAAUAUGAUGCAAAUGCUAAGUAGAUCCAUGUAAAUGAUAUGUAUAAGUGCAUUGGAAAUGUAUGCUAGAUGCAUGUGUAUAUGGACUUGAUAGGACAAGUAGGAUAUCAAGUAGAUCGAGUGGCAUUAACCUAGUGUUAAUAAACAUAGGUCGAACCUAGAUGACAUUGAACCUAGUGUUGUUGAACCUAGGAUAAAUAACGAGUGGCAUCUAACCUAGUGUUAAAGAACAUAGGUUGAGUAUGAACCUAGAGUCGGGAUCUAGGUGUGUGGCAUCUAACCUAGUGUUAAAGAACAUAGGUUGAGAACUGAACCUAGAGUUAAGGUAAACCUAGGUUGUGACAUCGAGGCAUUAGACCUAGAGUCUGUUGGACCUAGGGUGGAAAGUGCAUUGGACCUAGAUAGGUCAAUAGUAUAGGGUUGGAUAUGGACCCUUGACUUGUGAAGUCGAUUCCGGAAUCCCAGUACUUGUGAACUCAAUAGUUCUUGGACCGCGGGUGUAUGCGGCGAUGUUCCUCUCCCACCGGAAAGAACUUUGAGGAUUAUGACUAAGCAAGAACAAAGAGC
This 13282-nucleotide long non-coding RNA is filed under the name Ananas comosus (pineapple). RNAcentral describes it as "long non-coding RNA (ACOM_LNC032580)". The record is from RNAcentral. Lineage: Eukaryota; Viridiplantae; Streptophyta; Magnoliopsida; Poales; Bromeliaceae.